RNAcentral lists this ribosomal RNA (253 nucleotides) under uncultured bacterium. RNAcentral describes it as "partial 16S ribosomal RNA". It matches the Rfam family "Bacterial small subunit ribosomal RNA", at positions 524 to 776 of the family's 1533-position model. The record is from RNAcentral.
UACGAAGGGGGCUAGCGUUGCUCGGAAUCACUGGGCGUAAAGCGCACGUAGGCGGAUCUUUAAGUCAGGGGUGAAAUCCCGAGGCUCAACCUCGGAACUGCCUUUGAUACUGGGGAUCUCGAGUCCGGAAGAGGUUGGUGGAACUCCGAGUGUAGAGGUGAGAUUCGUAGAUAUUGGGAAGAACACCAGUGGCGAAGGCGGCUCACUGGACCGGUAUUGACGCUGAGGUGCGAAAGCGUGGGGAGCAAACAGG